ACAAUUGGUGGUUGACUAAAUACUUUUUUUCCCCACUGUACAUCUCAUAAUUUCCCCCUGGAAUUGACUAAAUUAUAUUUCUUCACUAGGAAAACAAAUUCGACAAACAACCACAAAGACAAAAACGUGCGCCAGAGGAAUACGAAAUGAGAAGCUACUCGUUGCAAUGACUAACUGCAUAUCUUGACCAUAUGAAGGUAUCUGAGGAGGGAGCUCCAGGCAAUUUUUAAUGAAGCAUAUCUCGUCUCUCUUAUGAGAAAAAACAAUAACAGCGUAACACUGGCAGAAAAUAACAAGAUGGCUGUCUUAAGCAUGCCUUAUUCAGUCUUACAUGAACAGUCCUGGACGGAAAGAUGACUAAUUCCAUCAUGAAAGGUGUGCACAUCUUUUUUGUGUGCCGUUUGAUGUCUCUUUUAUUCAUUUUAUCAUGUCCUCCAACCAGAGGUGAUCCUUUUUGUAUUACAUAUCAUGUAAAACGCAUGCAAAUUAUUACGCAAUAGGAUGCCCAGAAUAGACUUUGUUGUUUUCCCUCAUGUCUGUGUGGCUAUUUUGCGUCCAAAUGAAUUAUGUUUUUUUAUGAAAUUGUCCUGAACUGAAAAAUACUGUUAUAUUCUUAAAAUAACUUUGUACAGCUGAUUCAUUGUCAUUAAACUAUGUUUGAUUUAGUGAAAGGAAAGUCCACUCUUAACAGCCAUUAUAGUGAAAAUGUGAUGCAAGGGAUUCAAUGUCUGGCAGUAUUUACUUGAAAAUGAUUACAGAAAAUGACUACUAUAAUCUAUCUAGUUAUAAAUAAAAUGACAAGUAAGUGUUUAUUUUUAUUUUUCAGAGUAACUUAGGAUGUCUUGUAUAUGUUGAGGUACGAGUGUUCAAAUGAUAGCAAAUACUGUAUGUAAAGAAAAAAAUACAUUUUAUAUUUCCCAACUUAAUUCAUUCAUUUUUUUUUUUAUGAAAUUGUACAGCAUGGCUAUUAUCCUAUGCAAUAUGUAUUCAUAUAUAGAUAUAUUGGGGGCAGUUUGUUUUUCUCAGUGAAGCUUUAAUAUUGUGGGAUCACUUGGAAGCUGGUAUAGCAAAAUGCACUGCUGUAGCUGCAUGACUACUCUCCUAUAAAUACAGUGUAUCCAUGUGUAUUGCAGUGCAAAUGGACCUACAUUAGGGUGGGAAUGGAAGGAGCUACGGUAUCUCUAGCCACGAUAAAACAUAUGAGACCAAUAACAUACGAGACCAAUACCUUUUUGAAAAUAAAAGGCUCCAAAAUACA
This is a long non-coding RNA of Coregonus clupeaformis (lake whitefish), 1258 nucleotides long. RefSeq lists it as uncharacterized. The transcript has 2 exons. The record is from RefSeq and is a predicted model, not a curated record. NCBI's taxonomy places the organism in Eukaryota, Metazoa, Chordata, Actinopteri, Salmoniformes, Salmonidae.